GACGAACCGAGCGAACGUUGUUCGGAAUUACUGGGCGUAAAGCGCACGUAGGCGGCUUUCUAAGUCGGGGGUGAAAUCCUGGAGCUCAACUCCAGAACUGCCUUCGAUACUGGAAAGCUCGAGUCCGGGAGAGGUGAGUGGAACUGCGAGUGUAGAGGUGAAAUUCGUAGAUAUUCGCAAGAACACCAGUGGCGAAGGCGGCUCACUGGCCCGGUACUGACGCUGAGGUGCGAAAGCGUGGGGAGCAAACAGG
RNAcentral lists this ribosomal RNA (253 nucleotides) under uncultured bacterium. RNAcentral describes it as "partial 16S ribosomal RNA". It matches the Rfam family "Bacterial small subunit ribosomal RNA", at positions 524 to 776 of the family's 1533-position model. The record is from RNAcentral.